This 253-nucleotide ribosomal RNA is filed under the name uncultured bacterium. Its description in RNAcentral is "partial 16S ribosomal RNA". It matches the Rfam family "Bacterial small subunit ribosomal RNA", at positions 524 to 776 of the family's 1533-position model. The record is from RNAcentral.
UACGUAGGGGGCAAGCGUUGUCCGGAUUUACUGGGCGUAAAGCGUACGCAGGCGGCUUUGCAAGACAGGUGUGAAAUCCCCGGGCCUAACCUGGGAACUGCAUUUGUGACUGCAUAGCUAGAGUUUGUCAGAGGGGGGUGGAAUUCCACGUGUAGCAGUGAAAUGCGUAGAUAUGUGGAGGAACACCGAUGGCGAAGGCAGCCCCCUGGGAUGUGACUGACGCUCAUGUACGAAAGCGUGGGGAGCAAACAGG